CCUACGGGGUGCUGCAGUGGGGAAUAUUGGACAAUGGGCGAAAGCCUGAUCCAGCCAUGCCGCGUGUGUGAAGAAGGCCUUCGGGUUGUAAAGCACUUUCAGUGGGGAAGAAAGCCUUGGGGCUAAUACCCUCGAGGAAGGACAUCACCCACAGAAGAAGCACCGGCUAACUCCGUGCCAGCAGCCGCGGUAAUACGGAGGGUGCGAGCGUUAAUCGGAAUUACUGGGCGUAAAGCGCGCGUAGGCGGUCUGAUAAGCCGGUUGUGAAAGCCCCGGGCUCAACCUGGGAACGGCAUCCGGAACUGUCAGGCUAGAGUGCAGGAGAGGAAGGUAGAAUUCCCGGUGUAGCGGUGAAAUGCGUAGAGAUCGGGAGGAAUACCAGUGGCGAAGGCGGCCUUCUGGACUGACACUGACGCUGAGGUGCGAAAGCGUGGGUAGCAAACAGGAUUAGAUACCUAGUAGUC
This 464-nucleotide ribosomal RNA is filed under the name Vreelandella stevensii. RNAcentral's name for it is "partial 16S ribosomal RNA". It matches the Rfam family "Bacterial small subunit ribosomal RNA", at positions 338 to 795 of the family's 1533-position model. Lineage: Bacteria; Pseudomonadati; Pseudomonadota; Gammaproteobacteria; Oceanospirillales; Halomonadaceae. The record is from RNAcentral.